UAAUGGCAGGUCAGCAUACUGCCGUGAAUACGUUCCCGGGCCCUUGUACACACCGCCCGUCACACCAUGAGAGUUGGGAAUACCCGAAGCCUGUGAGCUAACUUAUAGAGGCAGCAGUCGAAGGUAGAAUCAAUGAUUGGGGUGAAGUCGUAACAAGGUAAC
This 162-nucleotide ribosomal RNA is filed under the name uncultured bacterium. Its description in RNAcentral is "partial 16S ribosomal RNA". It matches the Rfam family "Bacterial small subunit ribosomal RNA", at positions 1339 to 1500 of the family's 1533-position model. The record is from RNAcentral.